GACGAACGCUGGCGGCGUGCUUAACACAUGCAAGUCGAGCGGAGCGGCGAACGGGUGAGUAACGCGUGAGUAACUGCCCCCCUCUCUGGGAUAACAGUUGGAAACGGCUGCUAAUACCGGAUAGUGGGGGAUGACUCGCGUCCUAUCAGCUUGUUGGGGGGGUAGUGGCCUCCAAAGGCGACGACGGGAAGCCGGCCUGAGAGGGCGACCGGACACAUUGCGCUGCGAGACGGACCAAACUCCAACGGGGGGCAGUAGUGGGGAAUAUUGUACAAUGGGGGCACCCCUGUUGCAGCAACGCCGCGUGCGGGAUGUCGGCCUUCGGGUUGUAAACCGCUUUCAGCUAUGACGCGGUAGUGGCAGAAGAAGCACCGGCUAACUACGUGCCAGCAGCCGCGGUAAUAC
This 405-nucleotide ribosomal RNA is filed under the name uncultured bacterium. RNAcentral describes it as "partial 16S ribosomal RNA". It matches the Rfam family "Bacterial small subunit ribosomal RNA", at positions 28 to 526 of the family's 1533-position model. The record is from RNAcentral.